UCCGGCCUGAUUGGCCAAACACUCUUGAUCUAAGCAGCUGCAGCAGUGGGAUGGCCUUGAACCCUGCCCACCUGAAUUUGGCCCUGUCUGAGGGAGGCCCCUCUUGUCCACCUCUUAACCUGGGGUAGGGAGCUUCUCCCGAGUAGCAGUAAUGGGGCUGAUUCCAGCUUCUCCCCAGCAAUACCUCUAUGUGGCUGACCUGGCACGGAAGGACAAGCGUGUUCUGCGGAAAAAGUACCAGAUUUACUUCUGGAACAUUGCCACCAUUGCUGUCUUCUAUGCCCUUCCUGUGGUGCAGCUGGUGAUCACCUACCAGACGGUGAGAGGGCGGGGCGGGUUCACCUUUCCCACAGCCUA
Molecule: small RNA, 357 nt
Filed under: Pongo abelii (Sumatran orangutan)
Lineage: Eukaryota; Metazoa; Chordata; Mammalia; Primates; Hominidae
Description: retained intron
Source: RNAcentral